This 425-nucleotide ribosomal RNA is filed under the name Galathea ohshimai. RNAcentral's name for it is "partial 16S ribosomal RNA". The stretch from base 293 to 425 matches the Rfam family "Bacterial large subunit ribosomal RNA", at positions 2473 to 2606 of the family's 2925-position model. The record is from RNAcentral. Lineage: Eukaryota; Metazoa; Arthropoda; Malacostraca; Decapoda; Galatheidae.
UUUUAAUUGAAGGCUUGUAUGAAGGGUCGGACAAAGGACAAGCUGUCUUUAAUCUUUCUUUUGAAUUUGUCUUUUAAGUGAAAAGACUUAAAUUAUUUUAAGGGACGAUAAGACCCUAUAAAGCUUUAUAUUAAUAUGUCUUUAUUUUAAUUUUUAAUGUUUACAGAGAUAAAGGUGUUAAAAUAUUAUAUUGGGGUGAUAAGAAUAAUUAAUAAACUGUUCUAAAACAAACAAAGUUAUUUGUAAGCAUAAUAGAUCCUUUAUAUAGAUUGCAAGUUUAAGUUACUUUAGGGAUAACAGCGUUAUUUUUUUUGAGAGUUCUAAUCGAAAAAAAAGUUUGCGACCUCGAUGUUGAAUUAAAAUUUCUUUAUGGUGUAGCCGUUAUAAAAGAAAGUCUGUUCGACUUUUAAAAUUUUACGUGAUCU